RNAcentral lists this ribosomal RNA (465 nucleotides) under uncultured bacterium. RNAcentral describes it as "partial 16S ribosomal RNA". It matches the Rfam family "Bacterial small subunit ribosomal RNA", at positions 28 to 507 of the family's 1533-position model. The record is from RNAcentral.
GACGAACGCUGGCGGCGUGCUUAACACAUGCGAGUCGAACGGAAAGGCCCCUUUGGGGGUACUCGAGUGGCGCACGGGUGAGUAACACGUGAGUAACCUGCCCUUGACUUCGGGAUAACUUCAGGAAACUGGGGCUAAUACCGGAUAGGAAUCCUUGCUGCAUGGUGGGGGUUGGAAAGCUUCGGCGGUUUUGGAUGGACUCGCGGCUUAUCAGCUUGUUGGUGGGGUAGUGGCUUACCAAGGCUUUGACGGGUAGCCGGCCUGAGAGGGCGACCGGCCACAUUGGGACUGAGAUACGGCCCAGACUCCUACGGGAGGCAGCAGUGGGGAAUAUUGCACAAUGGGCGGAAGCCUGAUGCAGCAACGCCGCGUGCGGGAGGACGGCCUUCGGGUUGUAAACCGCUUUCAGCAGGGGCGAAGCUUGUGGUGACGGUACCUGCAGAAGAAGCACCGGCUAACUACGUG